This 374-nucleotide unclassified non-coding RNA is filed under the name soil metagenome. RNAcentral describes it as "partial contains internal transcribed spacer 2 and large subunit ribosomal RNA". The stretch from base 1 to 120 matches the Rfam family "5.8S ribosomal RNA", at positions 35 to 154 of the family's 154-position model. The record is from RNAcentral.
GAUGAAGAACGCAGCGAAAUGCGAUAAUUAAUGUGAAUUGCAGAAUUCCGUGAAUCAUCGAGUCUUUGAACGCACAUUGCGCCUCAUGGCAUUCCGUGAGGCAUGCCCAUCUCAGCGUUAGAAAAUAUUCUCAAAUUUUAGUUUUGUGCUAAAAUUUGGAUCAUGUCAAGGAAGCUAUUACUAUUAUUGUGAUCGCUCUUUGGAAAUUGAUAGGUCUUUGAGUUGCUACUCAUAGAACGUGAUGAAUCUUUCUUCGUUCUAUUGUAAUUCGCUCUGGUAGUCCUAAAACUUGUAUGCCUGUGGCAUAUCUUGUAAUUUGACCUGAGAUUGGGUAGGGAUACCCGCUGAACUUAAGCAUAUCAAUAAGCGGAGGA